GUGGUUUCUUGCCUUAUAUAUUCAUUGUUUUGUGUUGUGUAACUGAAAGAACAUCUAACACCUGAUGUCUCAGAGUCUGUAGGAGGUGCUGUAACGGUGACGCCCUUCAAACAAGUGGGUCUGGACUUCCAGGUGGUCAAUGUGGAACUGCACUGUAAGGUGGAGCGGGGAACGUUUCCACAGUACAGCUGGUUCCUCAACGACAGCAGGCUGCUGGGCCAAGGAGGUUUCUACGCAGACAAAUUCGUUCUGUCUCUGUCUGUAGGCCGAGACAGCGCUGGAUUCUACCACUGCCAAGCUUCAGACAGAUUCGACAACAGCACCAGCAUCCGCAGCCCAAAGAUGCUGAUCAGUAAAGAGGCACUGAACACAGUCUCUCCUUUGGUUGUGAUUGUUGUUUUCACCUCUUUUGCCCUGCUGAACGUCGCUGUGAUAACUUGCUGUAUUUAUGGAGUUGUGCUACGGAGAAGAUAUUCAAGACAAUACCUACUCACUGAACAACGCCGAAAAAUGAGAAUCACAGAUAAACAGGAAGAUGAAGAAGAGGAGGAUGAAGAUUAUCUAGUGAGGAUGCAUUUAUUAGUGAUUAUCUUUUAGUUCAUAAACAGAGACGUUUAGUAAUGAAUGACAUAUAAUGAACCUGCCUCAAAAUUGGGCAAAAAAGUGCAUAAUUUCUUCUCUUUGGAACAUGCCUUAGAAUAUUGUCUAGAUAGGCCGCUUACUAAGUUAUUGUUGGUUAAGGAGCAUUUGUGUGUGAUUCUUUUGUUUGAGAUGUUGGAGGGUUAUGAGGAAGACGUUGUCCAAGCG
RNAcentral lists this long non-coding RNA (807 nucleotides) under Sinocyclocheilus grahami. RNAcentral's name for it is "lncRNA (ENSSGRG00000006938.1)". The record is from RNAcentral. Lineage: Eukaryota; Metazoa; Chordata; Actinopteri; Cypriniformes; Cyprinidae.